RNAcentral lists this long non-coding RNA (11071 nucleotides) under Brassica napus (rape). RNAcentral's name for it is "long non-coding RNA (BNAP_LNC018399)". The record is from RNAcentral. Lineage: Eukaryota; Viridiplantae; Streptophyta; Magnoliopsida; Brassicales; Brassicaceae.
GGUGAAAGUAUUGGAGAAGGGUCAGGUGGUCGAAGAGGAAUAACAGCUCAGAUGAUCCAGAAUCAAGAAAGAUCAAGGGUAGAGAUGACACUUCCUAUGUCAAACACAUCAUUCAAGCGACCACAGAUUAAAUAGAGAAGCUGUCUGCUCUCUCUCUUCUGUCAUUAUAAAAUUCUCUUAGAAUCUGAAAUUGUGGUAUCCAUCAAUGUCAAAAAAGAAACAGCUGAGUCAUGGUAUUGACUCCUCCUGGUAUAGAUAAAUAACUAAUAAAUACCACUCUUCUAUCUAUGUAUCGUUGUGGUGUUACCUAUCUCCAAAUGCUAAGACUUUGGCUUAACCUUGAGUCGAAAUAAGUCUACUGUGUCAUGUAUGUUUUCGAAGAUGUAUGAUGUGUUACGCUAAUUGGUAAAAGGUUUUCAAUACAGAUUCGAGUAAGGAGUGUGACUUAUCCAAAAGCACAGGAGCCACCACCACGGUUACUGAAGUUUCAGAGCCACGAAUGAGAUAUCCAUCUUAGGUUUUUCUUGGCUUGAUGCUAAGAAGUUGUAAACGUUUGUCUCUUAUUGAUGAACAUACAAUCGAGUAUUUAUACAUACGAUGGCCAUAUCGUAUCAUCCCAAAAUAUAGGAGAUAACAACAAGCGUAACUGAUAUCGAAACUUAUCUACUAGUCUUCUAUCAUUAUCCUAAUACUCCCCCUCAAGAUGGUGCAUGUAGAUCGCGAAUGCCCAUCUUGCCCAGUAGAUAGCCAAACUGUUUGACUGACAAAGCUUUCGUUAAAAUGUCGGCCAACUGAUCUGUCGUUCGAACAUGAGACGUGACAAUCGACUGGUCCUGUACCGCAUCGCGAACAAAAUGACAGUCAGCUUCAAUAUGUUUCGUGCGUUCAUGAAGCACUGGAUUGGCAGCUAUGUGUAGUGCCGCCUUGCUGUCACAAUAUAGGUUCAUCGGUCUUGUUUGUCGUACUUCAAAUGUUUCAAGAAUCUCCUUCAUACAUUUUAGUUCACUCAACGUCAUUGCCAUUGCUCUAUAUUUAGCCUCUGCUGACGAUCUUGAAACAGUGUGUUGCUUCUUUGUCUUCCAUGACACAAUUGAGUCUCCUAACAUAACCAAGAAACCAGUAAGAGAGCGUCGCAUGAGAGGGCAUGCGGCCCAGUCUGAGUCGCAAAAGGCUGAAAUAUGUAGAUCGUUGUUGGCGCUUAAGAAAAUCCCUUGUCCAGGAACUCCUUUUAGAUAUCGAACCAACCGUAUCGCAGCUUCCCAAUGCUUGAGGCGAGGACUUUGCAAGAACUGCGCCAAUGUAUGGACAGCGUAACUGAUUUCUGGUUUCGUGACGGCCAAGUAAACAAGACGACCUACUAACCGUCGAUACGCAGUCGGAUCUGUAUAAAACUCACCAUCAAUGCGAGCCAAGUUGUGAUUCUGUUCCAUGGGUGUAGGUGUCGGCUUUGCUCCAAGCAGGCCACACUCUUUGACAAUGUCAAGAGCAUACUUCUUCUGAGACAGAUAGAUCCCCUCCUUUCCUUGUGACACUUCAAUGCCCAAGAAGUACCGCAACACACCCAAAUCUUUCAUGUGAAAACACCUACUCAAAUACGAUUUGAAGGAUGAAAUGAGAGUAGAAUCGUUUCCACCCACAAUCAAAUCGUCCACAUAUACCAGAACAAACAAUGUCGAUCCACCCCGAAUCAUAGUAAAUAAUGAUUAAUCCUUGUAGUUCUGUUUAAAACCAAAAUCAAGCAAAGCGUUGGACAAUUUCGAGAACCAGCACCGUGGGGAUUGUCGAAGUCCGUAGAUAGAUUUCUUGAGUUUGCAGACUCUCUUAUCAUCAGGAGUAGAGAAACUAGGAGGCAAUUUCAUGUAAACUUCUUCCUCAAGGUCCCCAUGCAAAAAUGCGUUAUGAACGUCCAUCUGAAACAGUUCCCAUCCCUUAGCCGCAGCUACUUCGAGAACGAUCCUUACCGUUGUCAUCUUGACAACAGGCGCAAACGUCGCCUAGUAAUCAAUGCCUUCUUCUUGAUUGUUCCCAAGAGCAACCAGUCUUGAUUUGUGUCGAUCAAUGGUUCCAUCCGCAUUGUACUUGAUCUUGUACACCCAUUUACAACCGAUGGCUGUCUUACCCGGAGGAAGCUCCGUGAUAGUCCAAGUGUCCCUUUCCUUCAAGGCAACGACCUCAAAUUUCAUAGAACCUCUCCAAACCUCAUGUUUAACCGCUUCUUUAUACGAAGUUGGUUCAAUAUUGUCCGUGAGUGUUGCAGCAAAAAUCUGCAUUGAGGGUGAGAGACGAUGAUGGGACAUGUAUUUAUCUAGAGGAUAUAAACACGUACCUGAAGACUUCGUUGUUCCAGAUGGAGAAACGUACGAGGGUUUAUCACUGAGACAAGCUGAAUACGUCACGUACUCGUUGAGCAAUACAGACGACUUCUUUGUUCUCAUUCCUCUACCCAAAGAUUCUUCGGGCACUGAAACCGGAACAGGAUUCUCAACACUCUGAGAAGGUGUAACAUCGAUAACUCCCCCUUGCUCAGUACUAACUCCCCCUUGCUCAGAGCUAGCUUCCCUUGCCUUGUUUCCCAAGUCACUAACAGGUGAAUCCAGAGAUGGUUCCAUACUUGCGGGAUCAUCAUCAAACAUCAAAGAUGUAGGUAAGUACACGGGCACAACUGUUGAAACUGUAUCAUCUUUCUCUGGUUGCGCAUAUGGAUAUUGGUCUUCUUGAAAAACAACAUCCCUCGAGACAAACAAGUUUUCUGUCUCUAAGUCAAACACAAGCCAUCCCUUCUUUCCCAUUGGAUAGCCAAGAAACACGCAACGGUUACUGCGAGGUUCAAAUUUGUCUUUAUCACGCGAGAUACGUCGAGCGAAACAGAGUGUGCCAAACACUCUCAAGUUAUCAUAGGAAGGAGGAGCACCAUAGAGAAGCUCAUACGGGGUCUUGUUUUUCAACAACGGCGUUGGAGUUCGAUUGAUCAAGUACGUAGCAGACAACACGCUUUCUCCCCUAAAUCUCUUUGGCAGAUUUCCUUGAAACAAUAGAGCUCGCGCUACAUUCAGAAUGUGUCUAUGCUUACGUUCAACCCUUCGGUUUUGUUGAGGUGUUUCUACACAAGAGGUCUGAUGAAUAAUUCCCUCGUCAGCGAAGAAUUGUCGUAGACAAGUGAACUCAGUGCCAUUGUCAGUGCGUAUGAUCUUGAUGUGCUUUUGAAAUUGUCUAUAGACAAAUACACAAAACGUUUUCAAAGCUCCUGGUGCUUCUUUCUUUUUCAAGAGCAAAACUGUCCAAACUGCUCGCGAGCAGUCGUCGACAAUGGUAAGAAAAUAACGAGCUCCACUUGUAGACGGUUCCCUAUAGGGUCCCCAAAGAUCACAAUGGAUUAAAUGAAACGGCUCAACUGUUUUAUUAUUACUCAACGAAAACGUGUCCCGAGUCUGUUUUGCUCGAAGACAAACACCACAAGAUUUUUCUAAAACUCCUAAGCUACUAGUAAAACCACCAGUUGAAGCCAACACCGAAAGUACUUUUGAAGAGGGGUGUCCCAUACGAUGAUGCCACAAGUCUCUGUCCUGAAGCUUGAUCGCACGACCAGCUUGUACUGCAACUGCACCUUCGUAGUGAUAAACCCCGUCACGCUCUCUACCCGCACCAAUCAAAGUCUUCGAAAUGAGGUCCUGUAUCACACAAAACCGUUUAGUAAACAGCACAAAACUCGCAAUGUCGCGGAGUAAAUGAGCAACAGAGAUAAGUGUAAUCGUGAGAGAAGGUGCAAGAAAGACAUGUCUCAAUGUGAGACGAUCGCCAAGGUUCAGGCUCCCAUGACUUGUAGCCCAAGUAAUCCGUCCUUUUGGCAAAGAAAUAGGACACGGUGCAAUAGUAACAAUGUCCGUGAGCAAACGAGCCUCCCCUAUCAUAUGAUGAGAAGCCCCAGAGUCGAUAAUGAUGUCAUAUCGACAAUCUUUACCAAAAAGAAGCAAUUUUCCUUUCUUACCAGACAGUUUGUCGGACUGAUUCGCCUUCUGAUUGUUCAUGAACUGAGCCAGCGAAGCCCACUGAUCUUGAGUGAAAUUUGGUAUUCCAGGGGAAAGAGACGAAGAAGAACCUUUUGUUACUGAUGUAGAAUCUCCCAGUUGAGUGUUGUAAGCACGAAAACCAGAACCUCUACCACCACGACCUCGUCCUUGAUUAUCAGAACCUCGGCCGCGAGAUCCUCCUCGUCCACCAUAAGACUUGCCCUUUUCCCACCAAUCAGGGAAACCAAUAACCUGAAAACAGUUAGUCGAAUCGUGUCCUUGCUUUCCACAAUGCGAGCAUACAGUUGAAGGCUUGCCAAAACGUGUUGCAGCUGCUUGAGGUGUUGAGGUUGCCGCAAAACCAACUACCGGUGCUUUUUCUUCUGCUCCACGCAUCACACUCAGAUGUCUUUCUUCUUGAAUAAUCUGAGAGUACACAGCGUCCAGAUUCAACUCCAUCUGUCGACUCAACAAGUUCGACCUCGUUGUUCCAAAACGAGCGUUGUCAAGCCCCAUCAGAAACUGAUGCAAUCGAAUUCUCUCCUGCAUCUUCUCGUAUGUGAUCAUUGAUGCGCAAUCCGCGCUUCCACAACAACAUGUGAAACCCUUCUCAAAAUCUGAAAGAUCAUCCCACAUCACCUUCAGUUUGCCGAAAUAGACUUCCACAGAUUCACCGUUCUGCUUACAAGCAGCAAUGUCUGCGUGCAACUGAUGAAUACGUGUGUCGAAUCUUCGUUGAAGACUCCCCCACAUUGCUUUCGCACUUUCCACCAAAGAUAUGGAUGGUCUCAGCUUAGGUUAAACACUGCUGUAUAUCCAGCCUAUGACCAUAGCGUUGACCAUAUCCCACUUUUCUCUUUCUUCUGAUUUGUCUACAGGACGUACAAAGUCCCAUCAACAAAACCUAUUUUUCGUUUGGUUCGAAGCGAAUUGAGCAUCAAUUUUGCCCAUCUUUCGUAAUUUCCUCCAUUCAAGAGAAUUGGUGAAAGAACAUGACUCGUAUUAUCUGAAGGAUGUAGAUAAUAUGGAGAAAUCAAAGCGUCUUUACCAGCAACAAUAGUUCCGGCUGCUGAAGACGUCGUAGAUAAGCUCGAAUCACUCAUCGUAAAAGAAUAUCGUCCACAAAAUUUUAUGAUCUUAGCUCUGAUAUCAUGCUAAGAAGUUGUAAACGUUUGUCUCUUAUUGAUGAACAUACAAUCGAGUAUUUAUACAUACGAUAGCCAUAUCGUAUCAUCCAAAAAUAUAGGCAAUAACAACAAGCGUAACUGAUAUCGAAACUUAUCUACUAGUCUUCUAUCAUUAUCCUAAUACUUGACAAUAUUAAAGACUACAAUAGAUUUGAAUAAACCAACGACCAUUGUCAGUUAAAUCUUUGAGAGUAGAUUAUGAUACAAGCAAACCUUCUGGACUCCUAAUUGCUGUUGGACCAAAACGAUGCUGGGCUUAACUCAUUCAUAAUAAAAUAAAUAUCAUAUUAAACCAAUUAAAAAUUUCUUCAUUUUUUUCUUCUUUUAGCUACGGUUAUUACACAACUCUUUUGAGCAUCUUGGACAGGACAGGCGUUAACCACACAAAGUUAUUUUUUCCCAGUUACAGAAUCAUUAAUAAGCCUGGGGGUUCAUUAAACGUUAAGCAACGUCGAAGAGUCCAAAAAUAAAGACAAGUAAAUGAUUAUUAAUUAAGCAUGGUUUUGUUAAUCAUAUAAUAUGUGGUCCGUAGCUAAUCCCCUAUAGAAUGGGCCAACAAUGUGUCUUAAAAGAAGACGCCAUAGAGAGACAAAAGCCACAUAAUGAGAUCUUUGUCUUGAAUUUUGCUUGAGUUUAUUGCACUUUAUUUUUCUUUAUACGGAAUGUGUAUGUUUCCCUGAAUAAUAAGUAUCAUUUAUCUUGGGCAAGCAAAUUAGUUAUUGGCUGGCACAAAAAUUACAGUUAUGAAUACAAAUAAAUGUAGUUAUAGUGUGUGUUUAGUUUAUGUUGAAAUGGGUCAAAAUUCUGGGUCGGUAUCAACCAAGACUUCCAGGGUGUCUUGUGGUUUGUUCUAGAUUCUUGCAUUUUAUCUCUUGAGUCGUUUGUUUGUGUUUCCUCUUUGUCUCUGGAAGAUGGUAUUUAGUUCUUGCCAGCUAUAGUCUCCGGGAGUAAUGGUUACUCACCGGCUUAGGGUAACAAACUUGUAGUUCCUUUAGUGUUAAAAAGCGAUUAUAUGAGUUAUUCAAUUGAUUUCUAUAUCUUUUUACUAAAUAAAACAAAUAUAAUUAUUUUUAACACAUAAUUAUUGUUGUUAUUAUUAUUAUUAUUAGUAUUAUUAUUAUUAUUAUUAUUACAAUACUAUCAUCAUCCAUAAACACUACUCCAUCUGUAUCAAAAUAAGUGAUUUUUAAGGUUUUUACACACUAAUUAAGAAAUUACAAAUUUUUAUUCAAUCUUUCUCGUUUGUCUAAAAACAACAAUAAAUACAUAUAAAUCAACCAAUAAAAAAUCAUACUGCAGAAUAUAAAUAGUCAAAAACAUAAAAUUGCAUUUACUUUUUACAUGAAAACUUGAAAACAUCACUUAAAAUGAAACAAAAAUUUUCUCUUAAAACAUCACUUAAAAUGAUACGGAGGGAGUAAUAAGUUUUGCAGAAAAUGUUAAUAGAUUAAAGAGGUUGAAUUGAAAUAUAUUAAAUAAAAAUACACAGAUAGAUUAUUCCAAAAUACUAAACAACACUAAACUAAUAAGUAGAACAUGUCUCAGUCUAGAGUCCAGACCACAAAAAAAAUCUAAAUCUUAAUUAAUAUAUGAACUAAAGAUUCCAUUUGCAUAUGAUACCAGUUAGAUUACGAAUAGAGAUUUGUUUUCUCUUCUUCUUUUGGUUGUCUUUGUAUACUUUUAUAUAAGCUUUUGCAUAAAGUCAUUGCUGCUUUCUGCUGAUAACUAAUAGUUUCGCAGACCGUGUGAGAACCUUCAGAGUUCAAAGAGAGUAUGUGUCUUUGACCUUUACAAUUCUAAAAAAAAAUCAUCAAACACCAUCACUUUAAUAGAUUAUCAAAAUAAAUAAAUAUUUCUAUUUACUUAUAUGAACAAUAAACAAAGUUAUACGAAACAAGAAGAGAUAGAUAAUGCCUCGUGACUAAAAAUCUAAAAGAGAGGAACAUGUGGGAUCGUUUAGGGAUCCAAAACACCUUAAAGAGUUUAGACAAUAUCAUGACACGAACACUACAUCACUUGGAUCUCAUUCUUUGAUUGUCCCCACAAGAAGUCAAACACUGAGCUGGCAAGUCUCUGACUGCCGUACCCAUGUCGCCACGUGCCCCGCUUCAAACUCCUUAUAUAAACACAAGUUAAAACUAAUAAACACAUUCACUUACACACAAGUACACCGUUUUGCAUAUGGAGGACGACCAGAGAACUACCCCAAACUCCGGCGAAAAAAGCCCGGAUACAUCGCCGGAGAUGUCAUCCUCCGACUUCGAGUUUGGAUCUUUGACUCCUUCUUCCCCUUCCCAUUCAGAACAUUCUCCCGCCGAUCACCUUUUUCUCAACGGCCGUCUAUUACCACACACUUUUCCGAUGACCCGUUCGGCGUCACGUACGACCAGCGAAAACACAUUCCGGAGCGACAGCACGAGCAGCCGGAGUAGUGUUAGCAGUAGCCCGACAUCUUUUACUCCAAGAACAAGCACUUGCAGUGUCUUCAAAGAAGAAACUAACGUAACUUGUUUUGGUUCUCGGUCUGAGAAGACUAGGAGCGUAAAGUCAGGGACUUGCGGCAUGAGAAACAUGUCAUCCUCAAUAUUGGAUUUAAAGAAGCCACCAUCGAACAAUGGUAAAAGAGUAUAUACUACGACGACGAAUAGGCUUUCAUAUAUCCCCACGCAGUGCAAGAGAAAGAAGGCGACGGAGAUAGUGACGGCGCAGCUUUACGGGUCGUAUACGAGGCGGUGGCAGCAUAUAACUCCGGUGUUUAAAAGAGAAGGGUCGGUGAAAAGUAACGGAGGAGGGAUUAAGGUUGGUGGAAGGAAGAAAAAGACGGUGAGGGGGAAGAAGAAGAAGAAGGCGGAGGAGAGAAGAGGAAGUAAGUUAAUGAAGUGGUGGAAGAGGGUUUUAAAGGCGGUGAUGUUGGCUUGCAGAGAGUGUCAUGCAAUGGAGCCUCAACGAGUUGUUAAUUAUGAUGCUGAUGUAAAAGAGAAAAUAACUAAAUGUUCAUAAAGAAUUGCAUUGUGUGUGUUUUGUUUUUACCUAUUUGCUUAAAACAAUUUCCCAAUAAAAAAUAAACUAAGAGGAAAUUAAAAAAUAAUACCAAAUAGGUGCGAGCCGGCACAGUUUAUGCGGAGUGUGCGAACUAAUAAGACCAUGAUUAACCACGGUUCUUAGGGUGAGGUUCAUACUUCGGCUAAGAACCGUUUCUUAGCUUUUAACUAAGAAAAGCUAAGAACCGUCUCUUAAAUAAGAGAUAUAAGAGCAUUAUUAACUCCGGCUAAGUUCUUAACUCAUGAUAUUGUAAUUUUUUUUUUUUUUUACUUUUUUUUGCUAAGAGACGGUUUUUAUAUCUCUUAGUCGAAGCUAAGAACCCCUGUUAAGAGACUCGGGUUAAUCAUGGUCUAAGAGCUGCCUCUUAGACAAAAAGUGUAAAAAAAAAAUGUCAAAUCAUGAGUUAAGAAUCCCAAAUUAAAAAUACGGAUUAAUCAUGCUCUGAUAUAUAUAUUCUACAAAUUUGGAGUUUGCCUCGGAAGAUGAUGCUCCAAUUGACCUCCAUCCUGCCAUUAACAUCACCAACAAUCCAUCCUCAUGAUUGCGAACCAAACACUCACAUGAUGACAAGAGGUGAAAGGUCAAUUAAACUAAGUCAAAAAGUUUAAGAAAUGGAAUGAAAACAGUUAUGGAGAGAAAAGCAUCUCUCGGGAGGAUGUAGUAACCGCUAGGAUCGGGUAUCCGGGGAAUUUUAAGGUAUCCGGAUCCGGAUUCUUAUCCGGCGGAUCCAUAAUUUUACUAUCCUUAUCCGGAUCCGGGGUUCUCGGAUAUCCGGGUGUCGGAUAUCCUUCUAAAAAUUGUAAUAUCCGGCGGAUAUCCGGAUCCGGAUAUGGAUCCUUAAAAUAAAUAAAAAUAAUAAUAUUAAUAUAUAUAAAAUAUUAACAAUAAUUUAAAACAAAAAAUAUAUAAUGUUUUGAAUUAUUUCUAUGUAUAAAAUUACAAAACUUACAUAAAAUUUACAUAUACUAUUAUAAAAAUGAAAAUAUAUUAAAUAAAAUUAGUUUUUAUAUAUAGAUAUUACUAUUUUUGAAAUAAUUAUUAAUAAAACUUACGGAUCUGGAUAUCCGGAAUCACAUCAAUUAUUAAAAUAACUUUUGUUUGGUUCAUAAAGAACAAAAGAUAUUGUUAAAUUCUUGUGAAAACUAUGGACCUUGUGUACUAUUGCAUUACAGUGUCAGUCCAGUAAAGACACUAUCUAUAAGGCAAUCAGUUAUAUCUUCAAAAUAACAUGGAUCUUCAUUUUGAAUCAAAAAUAAACAAACAAAUGGAAAUCUCACACUUCUAUUGUCUAAAACAAACAAACAAAUGAAAAUGUCAAGAACAUCUUAAAAGUUUCUAUACCCAAUCUACGUAUGUCGUUUUCUUUCUUCUCCACUAAUUAUUUUUCCCUGACCUAGCACAUCAACGUGAUCAUGCACUUAUUCCACAAUAGAAGCGCACAAGAAGACAAUGGUACAUAUCCCCACUUUACUUCACCACUUUAAAAUGGUUCGACCUCGUCAAUAAUAUCACCAAGUCCAAUUCCUCAACUUUGCUAAACUUACAAGAGCUUCUCCCCAAAAAUGGAUGGUAAGAAAACACAAGGACAAGGGUAUCUGAAAAAGAAGGCUAGUGUGUCUUACCUUGUGGAAGAAGAAUUGGAGAAUGAUACAGAUGGAGAGGAGGAAGAGAAGAGGAAAUGUGUGACUGAUAGGUUUAAAGGAUCUAGCGGCAGCAAUGAUCGUGGCUCAUCACGGCUUUGCCAAGUAGAUAGAUGCACAGCUGAUCUGAAAGAAGCUAAACAGUAUCACCGGAGGCACAAAGUGUGUGAAGUUCAUGCAAAGGCAUCUUCUGUCUAUCUCACAGGCGUUAAACAACGGUUCUGUCAACAAUGCAGCAGGUACCUGACAAACACAAACGUUACCCUUCAAUACGUUUAUUGCAUACUUUUAUUUAGUUUUCAUAACUAAGCUUUUUUGUAGAGGAUUAGUGGCUAAUUAGUCGUAAUUUAGACCAAAAUCUAAACGUUAAUGAAUUAUUUAUUUAUUUAUUAUAUAGAUAUUUAUUAAAUUUUGGAUUUAGUUAUAAUUUUAUUUUGAUGAAUUAUAAAAAAAAAACUAGAUAUACAAAAGAAUCAUACAAACUUGUGGACUUCACUAAUUUUGUUUUUAUUUAUUUAACCGCUAUAGACUAACCUUAACCAUUUUACCUUUUUAGGAUAGUUUAAAUGGAUUUGAACCAUUUAAAUCGGAUUAAAAAAAUUGGUUUGGUUAUUACCGAUUUGCUGUCUAGGCGACCAACUUAUAUAGAAACAUUGAUUUUAUUAUAUAGCCAUAUAUGUUUGAAACAGGUUCCAUGAGCUCCUAGAGUUUGAUGAAGCUAAAAGAAGUUGCCGGAAGCGCUUAGCUGGACACAACGAGAGGCGGAGGAAGAGCUCCGGUGAAAGUAUUAUUGGAGAAGGGUCAGGUGGUCGAAGAGGAAUAACAGCUCAGAUGAUCCAGAUUAAUCAAGAAAGAUCAAGGGUAGAGAUGACACUUCCUAUGUCAAACACAUCAUUCAAGCGACCACAGAUUAGAUAGAGAAGCUGUCUGCUCUCUCUCUUCUGUCAUUAUAAAUUUCUCUUAGAAUCUGAAAUUGUGGUAUCCAACAAUGUCAAAAAAGAAACAACUGAGUCAUGGUAUUGACUCCUCCUGGUAUAGAUAAAUAACUAAUAAAUACCACUCUUCUAUCUAUGUAUUGUUGUGGUGUUACCUAUCUCCAAAUGCUAAGACUUUGGCUUAACCUUGAGUCGAAAUAAGUCUACUGUGUCAUGUAUGUUUUCGAAGAUGUAUGAUAUGUUAUGCUAAUUGGUAAAAG